RNAcentral lists this ribosomal RNA (371 nucleotides) under uncultured bacterium. Its description in RNAcentral is "bacterial SSU rRNA". It matches the Rfam family "Bacterial small subunit ribosomal RNA", at positions 527 to 896 of the family's 1533-position model. The record is from RNAcentral.
GAGUGCCCCGAGCGUUAUCCGGAAUCAUUGGGCGUAAAGGGUGCGUAGGAGGUUUUGUUAGUCUUCUGUCAAAUUCUUCGGCUUAACCGGGGGCUCGCAGAGGAAACGGCAAAACUAGAGGAUGGGAGAGGUGAAUGGAACUCUAAGUGUAGGGGUGAAAUCCGUUGAUAUUUAGGGGAACACCAAAAGCGAAGGCAAUUCACUGGCCCACUCCUGACUCUGAAGCACGAAAGCGUGGGUAGCGAAUGGGAUUAGAUACCCCAGUAGUCCACGCCCUAAACGAUGUUCAUUAGCUAUUCGGAGUAUCGACCCUCUGAGUGGCGUAGCUAACGCGUUAAAUGAACCGCCUGGGUAGUACGACCGCAAGGKKA